GAUGAACAACGCAGCGAAAUGCGAUAAGUAAUGUGAAUUGCAGAAUUCAGUGAAUCAUCGAAUCUUUGAACGCACAUUGCGCCCCCUGGUAUUCCGGGGGGCAUGCCUGUCCGAGCGUCAUUACAACCCUCAAGCUCAGCUUGGUGUUGGGCCCCGCCGCCCCGGCGGGCCCUAAAGUCAGUGGCGGUGCCGUCCGGCUCCGAGCGUAGUAAUUCUUCUCGCUCUGGAGGUCCGGUCGUGUGCUUGCCAGCAACCCCCAAUUUUUUUCAGGUUGACCUCGGAUCAGGUAGGGAUACCCGCUGAACUUAAGCAUAUCAAUAAGCGGAGGA
Molecule: unclassified non-coding RNA, 329 nt
Filed under: soil metagenome
Description: partial contains 5.8S ribosomal RNA, internal transcribed spacer 2, and large subunit ribosomal RNA
Rfam family: 5.8S ribosomal RNA (bases 1-120)
Source: RNAcentral